AUUGAACGCUGGCGGCAUGCCUUACACAUGCAAGUCGAACGGCAGCACGGGAGCAAUCCUGGUGGCGAGUGGCGAACGGGUGAGUAAUGUAUCGGAACGUGCCCAGUCGUGGGGGAUAACGUAGCGAAAGCUACGCUAAUACCGCAUACGAUCUAUGGAUGAAAGCGGGGGAUCGCAAGACCUCGCGCGAUUGGAGCGGCCGAUAUCAGAUUAGGUAGUUGGUGGGGUAAAGGCUCACCAAGCCGACGAUCUGUAGCUGGUCUGAGAGGACGACCAGCCACACUGGGACUGAGACACGGCCCAGACUCCUACGGGAGGCAGCAGUGGGGAAUUUUGGACAAUGGGCGCAAGCCUGAUCCAGCAAUGCCGCGUGCAGGAUGAGGGCCUUCGGGUUGUAAACUGCUUUUGUACGGAGCGAAAAGGCUCUCUCUAAUACAGGGGGCUCAUGACGGUACCGUAAGAAUAAGCACCGGCUAACUACGUGCCAGCCGCCGCCGUAA
RNAcentral lists this ribosomal RNA (500 nucleotides) under uncultured bacterium. RNAcentral's name for it is "partial 16S ribosomal RNA". It matches the Rfam family "Bacterial small subunit ribosomal RNA", at positions 30 to 523 of the family's 1533-position model. The record is from RNAcentral.